This 481-nucleotide long non-coding RNA is filed under the name Piliocolobus tephrosceles (Ugandan red Colobus). RNAcentral's name for it is "lncRNA (ENSPTEG00000006205.1)". The record is from RNAcentral. Lineage: Eukaryota; Metazoa; Chordata; Mammalia; Primates; Cercopithecidae.
UAUUAGUAUAUAAAUAAAAAUUUUAUUAAACACAACAUAAAAUUACAUAUAAAACAUGUGUGAUGAUCUGAGAGCUAAAGAGACUUAUAAUGAAGAGGAUAGUGGAAAUAAUUUGAGUAAUAACAAUUCAUCCGUACGAAAAAAAUCAUUUAUGGAUGAAUUAAAAAAAACUAAUAGUCCUUUUUUAGGGAACAUAGCUAUGGAAGCAGUAGCUAAGGCAUCCAAAAUUAUUUCUCAGAACGAUAGAGCACAAACAGAAUAUAGUGGGGUUGGAGUAAAUCGUAUUGAAAAAGAAAUAGAUGCAAACGAUACUACAUAUGAUGACCAUAAUUGUGCUACUGAAAAUGACAAAUAUGAUAAUACUACUUCUGAGAAAAAAAAGAUGCAGUAAAAAAAAAAAAAAAAAAAAAAACACACAUAACACAUAACACAAUUAUAAAUAUAUAAUAACACAUGCAUACAUGUAUAUAUACGAGUCUUU